RNAcentral lists this ribosomal RNA (485 nucleotides) under uncultured bacterium. RNAcentral describes it as "partial 16S ribosomal RNA". It matches the Rfam family "Bacterial small subunit ribosomal RNA", at positions 28 to 523 of the family's 1533-position model. The record is from RNAcentral.
GAUGAACGCUGGCGGCGUGCUUAACACAUGCAAGUCGAACGAAGACGUCUGAGUGCUUGCACUUGGAUGGACUGAGUGGCGGACGGGUGAGUAACGCGUGGGUAACCUGCCUUAUACAGGGGGAUAACAGUUGGAAACGACUGCUAAUACCGCAUAAGCGCACAGUAUCGCAUGAUACAGUGUGAAAAACUCCGGUGGUAUAAGAUGGACCCGCGUCUGAUUAGCUAGUUGGUGAGGUAACGGCCCACCAAGGCGACGAUCAGUAGCCGGCCUGAGAGGGUGAACGGCCACAUUGGGACUGAGACACGGCCCAAACUCCUACGGGAGGCAGCAGUGGGGAAUAUUGCACAAUGGGGGAAACCCUGAUGCAGCGACGCCGCGUGAGUGAGGAAGUAUUUCGGUAUGUAAAACUCUAUCAGCAGGGAAGAUAAUGACGGUACCUGACUAAGAAGCACCGGCUAAAUACGUGCCAGCAGCCGCGGUAA